Molecule: ribosomal RNA, 496 nt
Filed under: uncultured bacterium
Lineage: Bacteria
Description: partial 16S ribosomal RNA
Rfam family: Bacterial small subunit ribosomal RNA
Source: RNAcentral
AUGAACGCUGGCGGCGUGCCUAAUACAUGCCGGUCGAGCGAACGGACGAGAAGCUUGCUUUUCUGAUGUUAGCGGCGGACGGGUGGGUAACACGUGGAUAACCUACCUAUAAGACUGGGAUAACUUCGGGAAACCGGAGCUAAUACCGGAUAAUAUUUUGAACCGCAUGGUUCAAAAGUGAAAGACGGUCUUGCUGUCACUUAUAGAUGGAUCCGCGCUGCAUUAGCUAGUUGGUAAGGUAACGGCUUACCAAGGCAACGAUGCAUAGCCGACCUGAGAGGGUGAUCGGCCACACUGGAACUGAGACACGGUCCAGACUCCUACGGGAGGCAGCAGUAGGGAAUCUUCCGCAAUGGGCGAAAGCCUGACGGAGCAACGCCGCGUGAGUGAUGAAGGUCUUCGGAUCGUAAAACUCUGUUAUUAGGGAAGAACAUAUGUGUAAGUAACUGUGCACAUCUUGACGGUACCUAAUCAGAAAGCCACGGCUAACUACGUG